AAUGACGCUACGCUGCUUACACCCUGCAGUCUGAACGGCAGCGGGGGAGCUUGCUCCCGCCGGCGAGUGGCGAACGGGUGAGUAAUACAUCGGAACGUACCCAGUAGCGGGGGAUAGCCCGGCGAAAGCCGGAUUAAUACCGCAUACGCCCUACGGGGGAAAGGGGGGGAUCGCAAGACCUCUCACUAUUGGAGCGGCCGAUGGCUGAUUAGCUAGUUGGUGGGGUAAAGGCCUACCAAGGCGACGAUCAGUAGCUGGUCUGAGAGGACGACCAGCCACACUGGGACUGAGACACGGCCCAGACUCCUACGGGAGGCAGCAGUGGGGAAUUUUGGACAAUGGGCGAAAGCCUGAUCCAGCAAUGCCGCGUGUGCGAAGAAGGCCUUCGGGUUGUAAAGCACUUUUGUCAGGGAAGAAAUCGUUUGGGUUAAUACCCCGAGCAGUUGACGGUACCUGAAGAAUAAGCACCGGCUAACUACGUGCCAGCAGCCGCGGUAAUACGUAGGGUGCAAGCGUUAAUCGGAAUUACUGGGCGUAAAGCGUGCGCAGGUGGUUUGUUAAGACAGUUGUGAAAUCCCCGGGCUUAACCUGGGAACUGCAAUUGUGACUGGCAGACUAGAGUGAGGCAGAGGGGGGCGGAAUUCCUGGUGUAGCAGUGAAAUGCGUAGAUAUCAGGAGGAACACCG
Molecule: ribosomal RNA, 686 nt
Filed under: uncultured Burkholderiaceae bacterium
Lineage: Bacteria; Pseudomonadati; Pseudomonadota; Betaproteobacteria; Burkholderiales; Burkholderiaceae
Description: bacterial SSU rRNA
Rfam family: Bacterial small subunit ribosomal RNA
Source: RNAcentral